This 18-nucleotide small nuclear RNA is filed under the name Arabidopsis thaliana (thale cress). RNAcentral describes it as "snRNA_09653". The record is from RNAcentral. Lineage: Eukaryota; Viridiplantae; Streptophyta; Magnoliopsida; Brassicales; Brassicaceae.
CUAUGGCAAAAAAGAAUA